Molecule: ribosomal RNA, 432 nt
Filed under: uncultured bacterium
Lineage: Bacteria
Description: partial 16S ribosomal RNA
Rfam family: Bacterial small subunit ribosomal RNA
Source: RNAcentral
ACGAACGCUGGCGGCAUGCCUAACACAUGCAGGUCGAACGAGACCUUCGGGUCUAGUGGCGCACGGGUGCGUAACGCGUGGGAACCUGCCCUUAGGUUCGGAAUAACUCCCCGAAAGGGGUGCUAAUACCGGAUAAUGUCUUCGGACCAAAGAUUUAUCGCCUUUGGAUGGGCCCGCGUUGGAUUAGCUAGUUGGUAGGGUAAAAGCCUACCAAGGCGACGAUCCAUAGCUGGUCUGAGAGGAUGAUCAGCCACACUGGGACUGAGACACGGCCCAGACUCCUACGGGAGGCAGCAGUGGGGAAUAUUGGACAAUGGGCGAAAGCCUGAUCCAGCAAUGCCGCGUGAGUGAUGAAGGCCUUAGGGUUGUAAAGCUCCUUUACCCGGGAUGAUAAUGACAGUACCGGGAGAAUAAGCUCCGGCUAACUCCGUG